RNAcentral lists this ribosomal RNA (474 nucleotides) under bacterium 2311-S3-01-3. RNAcentral describes it as "bacterial SSU rRNA". It matches the Rfam family "Bacterial small subunit ribosomal RNA", at positions 59 to 512 of the family's 1533-position model. The record is from RNAcentral.
CAGUCGAGCGGCAGCGACAACAUUGAACCUUCGGGGGAUUUGUUGGGCGGCGAGCGGCGGACGGGUGAGUAAUGCCUGGGAAAUUGCCCUGAUGUGGGGGAUAACCAUUGGAAACGAUGGCUAAUACCGCAUGAUAGCUUCGGCUCAAAGAGGGGGACCUUCGGGCCUCUCGCGUCAGGAUAUGCCCAGGUGGGAUUAGCUAGUUGGUGAGGUAAGGGCUCACCAAGGCGACGAUCCCUAGCUGGUCUGAGAGGAUGAUCAGCCACACUGGAACUGAGACACGGUCCAGACUCCUACGGGAGGCAGCAGUGGGGAAUAUUGCACAAUGGGCGCAAGCCUGAUGCAGCCAUGCCGCGUGUAUGAAGAAGGCCUUCGGGUUGUAAAGUACUUUCAGCAGUGAGGAAGGAGGUAUCGUUAAUAGCGGUAUCUUUUGACGUUAGCUGCAGAAGAAGCACCGGCUAACUCCGUGCCAGC